RNAcentral lists this ribosomal RNA (834 nucleotides) under Cortinarius austrocinnabarinus. Its description in RNAcentral is "eukaryotic LSU rRNA". It matches the Rfam family "Eukaryotic large subunit ribosomal RNA", at positions 77 to 895 of the family's 3401-position model. Lineage: Eukaryota; Fungi; Basidiomycota; Agaricomycetes; Agaricales; Cortinariaceae. The record is from RNAcentral.
YCCCUAGUAACUGCGAGUGAAGCGGGAAAAGCUCAAAUUUAAAAUCUGGCAGUCCUUUGGCUGUCCGAGUUGUAAUCUAGAGAAGUGUUAUCCGCGCUGGACCGUGUACAAGUCUCCUGGAAUGGAGCGUCAUAGAGGGUGAGAAUCCCGUCUUUGACACGGACUACCAGGGCUUUUGUGAUAUGCUCUCAAAGAGUCGAGUUGUUUGGGAAUGCAGCUCAAAAUGGGUGGUAAAUUCCAUCUAAAGCUAAAUAUUGGCGAGAGACCGAUAGCGAACAAGUACCGUGAGGGAAAGAUGAAAAGGACUUUGGAAAGAGAGUUAAACAGUACGUGAAAUUGCUGAAAGGGAAACGCUUGAAGUCAGUCGCAUUGUCCAGGGAUCAACCUUGCUUUUGCUUGGUGUACUUUCUGGUUGAUGGGUCAGCAUCAAUUUUGACUAUUGGAAAAAGAUUAAGGGAAUGUGGCAUCUUCGGAUGUGUUAUAGCCUUUGGUUGAAUACAAUGGUUGGGAUUGAGGAACUCAGCACGCCGCAAGGCCGGGUUUUUAACCACGUACGUGCUUAGGAUGCUGGCAUAAUGGCUUUAAUCGACCCGUCUUGAAACACGGACCAAGGAGUCUAACAUGCCUGCGAGUAUUUGGGUGGAAAACCCGAGUGCGUAAUGAAAGUGAAAGUUGAGAUCCCUGUCAUGGGGAGCAUCGACGCCCGGACCAGACCUUUUGUGACGGUUCCGCGGUAGAGCAUGUAUGUUGGGACCCGAAAGAUGGUGAACUAUGCCUGAAUAGGGUGAAGCCAGAGGAAACUCUGGUGGAGGCUCGUAGCGAUUCUGACGUGCA